GACAGAGGGUGCAAACGUUUGUUCGGAAUUACUGGGCGUAAAGCGAGUGUAGGCGGUCUCCUAAGUCGGGUGUGAAAGCCCCGGGCUCAACCCGGGAAGUGCACUCGAAACUGGGAGGCUAGAGUAUCGGAGAGGUUGGUGGAAUUCUCGGUGUAGAGGUGAAAUUCGUAGAUAUCGAGAGGAACACCGGUGGCGAAGGCGGCCAAACUGGACGAAUACUGACGCUGAGACUGAAAGCGCGGGGGAGCAAACAGG
RNAcentral lists this ribosomal RNA (255 nucleotides) under uncultured bacterium. RNAcentral's name for it is "partial 16S ribosomal RNA". It matches the Rfam family "Bacterial small subunit ribosomal RNA", at positions 524 to 776 of the family's 1533-position model. The record is from RNAcentral.